UGGGGAAUUUUGGACAAUGGGCGAAAGCCUGAUCCAGCAAUGCCGCGUGUGUGAAGAAGGCCUUCGGGUUGUAAAGCACUUUUGUCCGGAAAGAAAUCCUUGGCUCUAAUACAGUCGGGGGAUGACGGUACCGGAAGAAUAAGCACCGGCUAACUACGUGCCAGCAGCCGCGGUAAUACGUAGGGUGCAAGCGUUAAUCGGAAUUACUGGGCGUAAAGCGUGCGCAGGCGGUUUGCUAAGACCGAUGUGAAAUCCCCGGGCUCAACCUAGGAACUGCAUUGGUGACUGGCAGGCUAGAGUAUGGCAGAGGGGGGUAGAAUUCCACGUGUAGCAGUGAAAUGCGUAGAGAUGUGGAGGAAUACCGAUGGCGAAGGCAGCCCCCUGGGCCAAUACUGACGCUCAUGCACGAAAGCGUGGGGAGCAAACAGGAUUAGAUACCCUGGUAGUCCACGCCCUAAACGAUGUCAACUAGUUGUUGGGGAUUCAUUUCCUUAGUAACGUAGCUAACGCGUGAAGUUGACCGCCUGGGGAGUACGGUCGCAAGAUUAAAACUUAAUGAAUUGACGGGGUCAUAGCUGUUUCCU
This 584-nucleotide ribosomal RNA is filed under the name uncultured bacterium. Its description in RNAcentral is "partial 16S ribosomal RNA". It matches the Rfam family "Bacterial small subunit ribosomal RNA", at positions 355 to 1375 of the family's 1533-position model. The record is from RNAcentral.